AUUGAACGCUGGCGGCAUGCCUUACACAUGCAAGUCGAACGGUAACAGGGAGCUUGCUCCGCUGACGAGUGGCGAACGGGUGAGUAAAGUAUCGGAACGUACCUUUCAGUGGGGGAUAACGUAGCGAAAGUUACGCCUAAUACCGCAUAUUCUGUGAGCAGGAAAGCAGGGGAUCGCAAGACCUUGCGCUGAUUGAGCGGCCGAUAUCAGAUUAGCUAGUUGGUGAGGUAAAGGCUCACCAAGGCGACGAUCUGUAGCGGGUCUGAGAGGAUGAUCCGCCACACUGGAACUGAGACACGGUCCAGACUCCUACGGGAGGCAGCAGUGGGGAAUUUUGGACAAUGGGGGCAACCCUGAUCCAGCCAUGCCGCGUGAGUGAAGAAGG
RNAcentral lists this ribosomal RNA (385 nucleotides) under uncultured bacterium. RNAcentral describes it as "bacterial SSU rRNA". It matches the Rfam family "Bacterial small subunit ribosomal RNA", at positions 30 to 414 of the family's 1533-position model. The record is from RNAcentral.